ACAAUAGUAAGAGGUACUCUGUCACAUAUUCUCUGUAUUGUUUAACUAAGAUCGACCCUAAUGCUUCUUGGAACACUUACAACACUAUUGAUUUGCAGGCGUCUGUUCCUGAAUGCCACAUCUGGGAGACAACUUUAUUUUGACAAGGAGACUAAUGCAGAGGAAACCUAUUUUACAAGCUGGUCUCUCAAGACACUGGGAACACAUCAUCAGCUUCACUGCUGAGGGGUUAAUCCAAGGUUGAGCAUGUGACCAUAGCUGAACUAAACGAGUUUAUCCUCACUCCCAGCCUCAGGUCACUGGAUUUAAUAUGGAUAAAGGCUGGUGCUAUGUCUCUUGCUCCAGAUGUACAAAGAAGCUUCAGCGGACGGUCUCAUCUUUUACUUGGCAACCUGCAGUAACACCAAUGCAGUUGGUUUCCUUCGGUAUGUUGGACCCUAAAAUGAG
Long non-coding RNA from Brassica napus (rape), 447 nucleotides. RefSeq lists it as uncharacterized. The record is from RefSeq and is a predicted model, not a curated record. The transcript has 3 exons. NCBI's taxonomy places the organism in Eukaryota, Viridiplantae, Streptophyta, Magnoliopsida, Brassicales, Brassicaceae.